Molecule: long non-coding RNA, 1343 nt
Organism: Pongo pygmaeus (Bornean orangutan)
Lineage: Eukaryota; Metazoa; Chordata; Mammalia; Primates; Hominidae
Exons: 4
Source: RefSeq, a predicted model, not a curated record
GAGCCAUCCAGGAAGCACAGCAAGGGGCAGUCAGUUGGAAGACCUAACAGUGCCUUCUGCCCCUGGCACAUUCACCAAAGAAGAAGACUACUCUGGGACUCACCAGUAUGGGAUGGUGCUAUGGCAACAGUCUCCUUGGAGCUCACUGGAUCCUUAGAAUUAUUUUGUGAUGCUUGUUCUGCAUCUUGAAAUGACAACCUGUGCCUCUGGGACUCGGCUGCAAGGAAGACAAGUGGGAGGCAAGUGGACAUGUUUUUCUGUGUAUCCCAAAACAGGUAGCAGUGUCCUUGCAGUGCACUGGAUGGAUGGAUGAAGGCACUCUCCCAGGCUUCCAGGCUUCCAACCCUUGGUGUGGGCUGUGCCCACCAGCCCCCUUUGUGGAGCUCAGACAGGCUGGAAUUCUCCAAGAAUAACCUCACAGGAAAUCAACAAAAUGAACAAAGAGAAUACAAACAGCUGAACAACAGAUGUGCUUACUGAAUGCAGGAAGGCCUGUCUUCCUUCCCGUCUGCCCCCAGGCAUGGAAGGACCAAGCCAGGGUCAAGGAGUGGAAGAAGCAGCUUAUCCUCCAGAAGCCUAGAGGUGAGGCUCUAAGUGGGAACUUUCUCCUGGCCAAUCUUUUUCAGUGCUGUUUGUUUGGCAAGGGAACAGAUUUUCCUGUUACAACAGCCAAAAAAACAGAAAAUAAAUCAAGGAAAGAGUGGCAAGGACCAGCCUGGAAAUGAAGUUAAAAUAUCUAGGCUUGCUGAAGACACCACAAAAUGGUUUUCUCCUCAAAGUGGCUGCACAGCUUAGAGGGACGGCAGAUCAGACUGCUCUAAUGGAUCUAGGGACAUAUUCCUCUCCCUGACAACUCCACCCACACCUCUUCCCACCCUAUUUCCUCCAAAAGCCUUUUGCAGAUGGUGCCUCUCAGUUCCCAGAACCAGUCUGGAGCAGUGAUUAAAGGACCAAAAUUCCAGGAACCAUUUUUUUUCUUGUUGUACAGUUUGGCAAAUGCUUCAGCUAUGCUAAGACACAGUGAAUCACUUAAGAGUGACAAUCAAGAUGCUGGAGGGAAAUUAAGGAUUCCACUGAGCAUGGGGCCAGUCUUCAAAAAAGUGGUUGUUAGUGAAAAGAUAGGAUUGUGUGAACACUCUAUUUGGGCACCCUUCAUCCCCAUAGGCACUCAGGCCACACUUUUGCCUCCUUGGAUCCCUCCUUCCUUUCCCUAUUCCUAUGGAUAAGAAUCAUUUCCAUUACUACCAGGUCUCUACAUAUUCCAGAUUUAUGAUAUAACCAUGAAAAAAUAAAUAAUGAAAGUCUCAGGACCUUGUCGGAUCAGAUAACCACAUAUAGUUCUC